RNAcentral lists this ribosomal RNA (191 nucleotides) under uncultured Streptococcus sp. RNAcentral describes it as "partial 16S ribosomal RNA". It matches the Rfam family "Bacterial small subunit ribosomal RNA", at positions 1194 to 1382 of the family's 1533-position model. The record is from RNAcentral. Lineage: Bacteria; Bacillati; Bacillota; Bacilli; Lactobacillales; Streptococcaceae.
CAUGCCCCUUAUGACCUGGGCUACACACGUGCUACAAAUGGUUGGUACAACGAGUUGCGGGUCGGUGACGGCGAGCUAAUCUACUUAAAGCCAAUCUCAGUUCGGAUUGUAGGCUGCAACUCGCCUACAUGAAGUCGGAAUCGCUAGUAAUCGCGGAUCAGCACGCCGCGGUGAAUACGUUCCCGGGCCUU